GGGCCCGUGGCCUAGCUUGGAUAAGGCGCCGGCCUCCGGAGCCGGAGAUCCCGGGUUCAAAUCCCGGCGGGCCCGCCA
Molecule: transfer RNA, 78 nt
Filed under: Nitrososphaeria archaeon
Lineage: Archaea; Thermoproteati; Nitrososphaerota; Nitrososphaeria
Description: tRNA-Arg
Rfam family: tRNA
About the family: Transfer RNA (tRNA) molecules are approximately 80 nucleotides in length. Their secondary structure includes four short double-helical elements and three loops (D, anti-codon, and T loops).
Source: RNAcentral